This 161-nucleotide non-coding RNA is filed under the name human gut metagenome. The record is from RNAcentral.
GUUCUUUCCGUAAAGGAAGGCUAAGAGGGAAGCAGGUCAGAAUCCUGCGCGGUCCCGCCGCUGUGAAUGGUGAGUCUUGUCCUCAGGCGUGAGCUGUCCAUUGGGAAACCGAGAAGGAUGGGCAAGGUGAUGACCCAAAGCCAGAAGACCUGCAUGUGACU